GCUCCUGUAGCACAACUGGUUAGUGCACAGUACUUAUAAAGCACUAUGGUGUGGAGUGAUGCUGGGGUUGUGAGUUCAAGUCUCACCUGGAGCA
RNAcentral lists this transfer RNA (94 nucleotides) under Chelonia mydas (Green sea turtle). It matches the Rfam family "tRNA". Rfam says of the family: Transfer RNA (tRNA) molecules are approximately 80 nucleotides in length. Their secondary structure includes four short double-helical elements and three loops (D, anti-codon, and T loops). Lineage: Eukaryota; Metazoa; Chordata; Testudines; Cheloniidae. The record is from Rfam by way of RNAcentral.